AAUAUACUCCCUCCGUCCCGAAAUACUUGUCGGAGGAAUAAAUAUAUCUAUACGUAUUUUAGUUUUAGAUAUAUCCAUUUUGAUGCAUUUCUCCGACGAGUAUUUCCGGACGGAUGGAGUACCAA
This is a non-coding RNA of Triticum aestivum (bread wheat), 125 nucleotides long. NCBI's taxonomy places the organism in Eukaryota, Viridiplantae, Streptophyta, Magnoliopsida, Poales, Poaceae. The record is from Rfam.